RNAcentral lists this ribosomal RNA (440 nucleotides) under uncultured bacterium. RNAcentral describes it as "partial 16S ribosomal RNA". It matches the Rfam family "Bacterial small subunit ribosomal RNA", at positions 338 to 795 of the family's 1533-position model. The record is from RNAcentral.
CCUACGGGAGGCUGCAGUGGGGAAUAUUGCACAAUGGGGGAAACCCUGAUGCAGCGACGCCGCGUGAGUGAGGAAGUAUUUCGGUAUGUAAAGCUCUAUCAGCAGGGAAGAAAAUGACGGUACCUGACUAAGAAGCCCCGGCUAACUACGUGCCAGCAGCCGCGGUAAUACGUAGGGGGCAAGCGUUAUCCGGAUUUACUGGGUGUAAAGGUAGCGUAGACGGCUAAUCAAGUCAGAAGUGAAAACCCAGGGCUCAACCUUGGGACUGCUUUUGAAACUGAGUAGCUAGAGUGCCGGAGAGGUAAGCGGAAUUCCUAGUGUAGCGGUGAAAUGCGUAGAUAUACGGAGGAACACCAGUGGCGAAGGCGGAUUGCUGGACAGUAACUGACGCUGAGGCGCGAAAGCGUGGGGAGCAAACAGGAUUAGAUACCCCAGUAGUC